GCCUACGGGGGGCAGCAGUAGGGAAUCUUCCACAAUGGGCGAAAGCCUGAUGGAGCAACGCCGCGUGAGUGAAGAAGGUCUUCGGAUCGUAAAACCCUGUUGUUAGAGAAGAAAGUGCGUGAGAGUACCUGUUCACGUUUCGACGGUAUCUAACCAGAAAGCCACGGCUAACUACGUGCCAGCAGCCGCGGUAAUACGUAGGUGGCAAGCGUUAUCCGGAUUUAUUGGGCGUAAAGGGAACGCAGGCGGUCUUUUAAGUCUGAUGUGAAAGCCUUCGGCUUAACCGGAGUAGUGCAUUGGAAACU
Molecule: ribosomal RNA, 305 nt
Filed under: uncultured bacterium
Lineage: Bacteria
Description: bacterial SSU rRNA
Rfam family: Bacterial small subunit ribosomal RNA
Source: RNAcentral